This 484-nucleotide ribosomal RNA is filed under the name uncultured bacterium. RNAcentral describes it as "partial 16S ribosomal RNA". It matches the Rfam family "Bacterial small subunit ribosomal RNA", at positions 28 to 507 of the family's 1533-position model. The record is from RNAcentral.
AUCGAACGCUGGCGGCAUGCUUUACACAUGCAAGUCGAACGGCAGCGCGGGCUUCGGCCUGGCGGCGCGUGGCGAACGAGUGUGUAAUACACCGGAACGGCCCCAGCUGUGGGGGAUAGCUCGGCGAAAGCCGGAUUAAUACCGCAUACGACCUGAGGGUGAAAGCGGGGGAUCUUCGGACCUUGCGCCAUUGGAGCGGCCGACGGCCGAUUAGCUAGUUGGUGGGGUUAAGGCCUACUAAGGCGACGAUUUGUAGCUGGUCUGAGAGGACGACUAGCCACACUGGGACUGAGACACGGCCCAGGCGCCUACGGGAGGCAGCAGUGGGGAAUUUUGGACAGUGGGCGAAAGCCUGAUCCAGCAAUGCCGCGUGUGUGAUGGAGGCCUUCGGGUUGUGAAGCACUUUUGGCGGGAACGAAAAGGACUGUGCCAAUACCACGGUUCGAUGACGGUACCCGCAGAAUAAGCACCGGCUAACUACGUG